Molecule: long non-coding RNA, 888 nt
Organism: Pan troglodytes (chimpanzee)
Lineage: Eukaryota; Metazoa; Chordata; Mammalia; Primates; Hominidae
Exons: 5
Source: RefSeq, a predicted model, not a curated record
UUCAGAGGAAGGAGGAGCCUGGCCUUCAAAAUUACUAUGACCAUCAGAAUGCCCUAGGAGAUCAAAGAAAUAACGGAGUGGGUGUGAGACCUUUUACAAAUGUGUGCACUCAAGCAGUGCAAAGGCAAACCUCCUGAGUCUCACUCUGUCACUCAGGCUGGAGUGCAGUGGCACGAUCUCAGCACACUGCAACCUUCGCCUCCCAGGUUCAAGCGAUUCUCCUGCCUCAGCUCUUGGACAAAACUUCAGCACUCCUGCUAGGGUGUGUCUGCCCUACUAAGACACUGUGCGCAGGUGGAGUUGAGGCUCUUAUGUAUGGAUCCUGUCCACUGUUGAGAUUGUGAAUUGCAUGUGUAGGCUCAACUCACAGGAGGUGUUGACUCACAAACCUCCAGCUGGGACAUGUGCAGGAUUAGAAAUUUUAUUUCUGGAUCUUUCUUCAGGCCCAGCUUACAGAAGGCAUUGUGACAGAUCUCUGGGCUCAUUACCUAGGAGAUGUGACUCUACACUGCCGGUUGGGCCGAGCCCCACUGAAGAUUGUGACGUAUUACUGAGCCCAUAAACUAGAAGGCGUUGUAACAUCUCACUAAGCCCAGCACUCAGGCGAUGUGGCUUUCCUGCUAUGGCACUGCACACAAGAAGAAUGUUGACAUAUUCCUGGCCUAGAAUUCAGGUUGUAUUGUGCCAUAUAUCUGGGACCAAAUUACAAGCACAAUGAUGAAUCUUUUACCUGGAGUCAAGACAUGUGCAGGAUGGUGGAACUUAUCACUGGACCUUUCCACAGUGUUAUUGUGACAUAUGCCUUUGCCCAACAUGUGGUGAUUUGACUCUCCAGACUGGGUCCAGUUCACAAAUAAAAUUGUGCCGUAUACUUGGCCAAGAACCUAA